UGUGGAAACAAAGACACCUACAUCUUGGAUGCCCUUGAGAGACAAGAUCAUUGCAUUUCAGAGACAAGUACCUGAGGCUCAGGCAAACCAUGUGUGCUGAGAAGGACACCUUGCUUUUGUUUCAACCUUCCGUUCCAUGAAUUCUAUUGCCACAUCCUUCUAACACAACCAUACAAGCUUUCUUAAUGCAUGUUAUUGGUCUUAUUGUGAACGAUUCGUACAUUUUUCUGCCUAUACAUUUUUAAUUAAAAUUGCACUUGAUCAGCUGGUGAAA
Molecule: non-coding RNA, 274 nt
Organism: Pimephales promelas (fathead minnow)
Lineage: Eukaryota; Metazoa; Chordata; Actinopteri; Cypriniformes; Leuciscidae
Source: RefSeq, a predicted model, not a curated record